RNAcentral lists this ribosomal RNA (468 nucleotides) under uncultured bacterium. Its description in RNAcentral is "partial 16S ribosomal RNA". It matches the Rfam family "Bacterial small subunit ribosomal RNA", at positions 28 to 507 of the family's 1533-position model. The record is from RNAcentral.
GACGAACGCUGGCGGCGUGCUUAACACAUGCAAGUCGAACGGAAAGGCCCUGCUUUUGUGGGGUGCUCGAGUGGCGAACGGGUGAGUAACACGUGAGUAACCUGCCCUUGACUUUGGGAUAACUUCAGGAAACUGGGGCUAAUACCGGAUAGGAGCUCCUGCUGCAUGGUGGGGGUUGGAAAGUUUCGGCGGUUGGGGAUGGACUCGCGGCUUAUCAGCUUGUUGGUGGGGUAGUGGCUUACCAAGGCUUUGACGGGUAGCCGGCCUGGGAGGGUGACCGGCCACAUUGGGACUGAGGUACGGCCCAGACUCCUACGGGAGGCAGCAGUGGGGAAUAUUGCACAAUGGGCGGAAGCCUGAUGCAGCAACGCCGCGUGCGGGAUGACGGCCUUCGGGUUGUAAACCGCUUUCGCCUGUGACGAAGCGGGAGUGACGGUAAUGGGUAAAGAAGCACCGGCUAACUACGUG